AAUUCCGACAGUGAGAGGAAGGGCCGGAUACAGGAGACGGGAAGAAACAAGCCGAUUAUGUUCGCGUUAAUUAGGUAGUUGGAAGAUGUAAAAUUCUCAAUUCUGCCAACUGAACAUAUACGAGAUUUUAAUGAGGAUGAAUAAUCAGUCGGCAUGGAGGAAACGGACCUUUAUUUGGUGGAGUGGCGACAAGAAGCCAAAAGACGGGUGGCCGGUCUAUGAAGCCUCCAUCAUCAAGCUAGCAGCCCAUGAAAUCGAAUGCAGAUCUUCCUGAUGUGAGAUUUACAUAAAUAUGUCAAAGUCUCAACCUCAUGCUGCCCUCCCCAUCCUCCUAAAGUUCAAUGGUGCGUGUUCUUCUAAUGGCCACCUUCCCACUGGAGGUUUUGAUCCACAGCAAUUUAAAAGGAGCACAGAUCAAAACGGACAUUGGCGCAGAGUGAAGAACUGCCCUUCACAAGGACACUAUGACAGCCAUAUAUAUGGCAGUAAGGAAGAGGUUUCCCAAUGUGUCCAGAAGGGCUUUGAGGAUUGCAGUGAAAGCUGGGGGAACUGAGACUGCUGGAAAAGGAAAAGAAAUUAAAUUUAAAGUAUGUUGACUUAUGUUCACACAAUCACACACACAUAUACACAUACACACACAUAUGUGUACAUAUAUAUAUAUAUACACAUAUAUAUAUGUGUGUCUGUGUUUCUUUUAGAAUGUUUAAGUAUGUAAUGAGAAUAAAAUUAUAAAAUGAAUAUUCC
This is a long non-coding RNA of Oreochromis aureus, 744 nucleotides long. Lineage: Eukaryota; Metazoa; Chordata; Actinopteri; Cichliformes; Cichlidae. The record is from Ensembl.